Molecule: long non-coding RNA, 1188 nt
Filed under: Homo sapiens (human)
Lineage: Eukaryota; Metazoa; Chordata; Mammalia; Primates; Hominidae
Description: long intergenic non-protein coding RNA 3076
Source: RNAcentral
ACUCCAGUCCUCUCCACCCCAAGCAUUAUUCUCUUGGAUUCACCUUUGCAAAGAAUUGAACAAAAUAGAAGCCAAAGAAGUAGACAGAAAAUAAAUCAAUCCACUCUGCUCAAAGAGCACACAGUCUAAUGAAGAUGAUGAACAUGAAGUCAACUUCGUAGUGUUGAGAGCACUGUUUCUCCAGAGCAGCACUUCUCAUCAGGGGCUGCACGUUAGACUUACCUGGGGAGUAUACAUAAGUUCAGAUGCCCAGGCUGUACUUCAGAAUCUCUGGAGCUCUAUGCAACUCAUUUUCAUCUAGCAUUACCUCUCCAAAACCUGAAUCUCCACAAGAAAGCCACACAGCAAUUAACCAGUGUUGCAAGAACUGCUUCUGUAAUAAAGGUGGGAAGACAAAUUGAUGCAACCCUCUUGAAAAGCAAUCUGGCAAUAUGAACCAAGAGCCAUGAAAAGGCUUAUGCUAUUAUAAUUAAAUGGCUGUAAUGUUGGCUGUAAAUAUGAAAUUUUCUUUCACACACCAAUGUUUUCAAGAAUGGCAUAUUCACAUGCAGUAUGUGUUUCCCCUUGGAAAUAAAAUGUAAAGGAAAACUAUGGAAAAAUAUACUUACUCUAGACAUUCUCUGCAUUGAUUUAUGACAGAUGAAAGAAGCAGUAAAGGAUGCUAACAAAGCUAUUUCUUUGGACAAUCUGAACCUGACGGAGUCUUACUCUGUCGCCCAGGCAGGAGUGCAAUGGCACAAUCUUGGCUCACCACAACCUCCGCCUCCUGGGUUCAAGUGACUCUCCUGCCUGGCCAUAGAAGCAAACACAAACAUAGAGGAAUUGGCUUUGGGCAGAUGGAAGGACCUCAGAGAAAAGAAACAAAGGAAAGAAAACUGGAUGGAUAAAGUAAAGAUCUUGCCAGCUGGUGCCUGGGUGCAUAGACUGCCUAUGGCUCUUGAAUUGCAUGCUGAAAACUUCAUAAUGAAACCAGAAAAUCACAGAAGCAUAAACACAGCUGCUUAUGCCUAUAAAAUGAGAAAAUUGAAGCCAACAGAAGUUAACUAACUUGCCUAAAAUAACACAGCUGUGGCAAAUUAGGACCAGAACCAAGGUCUCCUGACCUAAGUGCUACUCCCACCAUACUACAUGAUCUGCUGUUUAAAAUUUUGGUGAGCUUUAUAACAUAAAUAAAACUACAGAUGUGAA